AUUGAACGCUGGCGGCAUGCUUUACACAUGCAAGUCGAACGGCAGCGCGGGCUUCGGCCUGGCGGCGAGUGGCGAACGGGUGAGUAAUGCAUCGGAACGUGCCCAGUAGUGGGGGAUAGCCCGGCGAAAGCCGGAUUAAUACCGCAUACGACCUGAGGGUGAAAGCGGGGGACCGAAAGGCCUCGCGCGAUUGGAGCGGCCGAUGUCGGAUUAGCUAGUUGGUGGGGUAAAGGCUUACCAAGGCGACGAUCCGUAGCUGGUCUGAGAGGACGACCAGCCACACUGGGCCUGAGACACGGCCCAGACUCCUACGGGAGGCAGCAGUGGGGAAUGUUGGACAAAGGGGGCAACCCUGAUCCAGCCAUGCCGCGUGGGGGAAGAAGGCCUUCGGGUUGUAAACCGCUUUUGUUCGGGAAGAAAUCCUCUGGGCUAAUACCCCGGGGGGAUGACGGUACCGGAAGAAUAAGCACCGGCUAACUACGUG
This 484-nucleotide ribosomal RNA is filed under the name uncultured bacterium. RNAcentral describes it as "partial 16S ribosomal RNA". It matches the Rfam family "Bacterial small subunit ribosomal RNA", at positions 28 to 507 of the family's 1533-position model. The record is from RNAcentral.